This 501-nucleotide ribosomal RNA is filed under the name uncultured bacterium. RNAcentral's name for it is "partial 16S ribosomal RNA". It matches the Rfam family "Bacterial small subunit ribosomal RNA", at positions 30 to 523 of the family's 1533-position model. The record is from RNAcentral.
AUUGAACGCUGGCGGCAGGCUUAACACAUGCAAGUCGAGCGGGGGAAGGUAGCUUGCUACCGGACCUAGCGGCGGACGGGUGAGUAAUGCUUAGGAAUCUGCCUAUUAGUGGGGGACAACAUCUCGAAAGGGAUGCUAAUACCGCAUACGUCCUACGGGAGAAAGCAGGGGAUCUUCGGACCUUGCGCUAAUAGAUGAGCCUAAGUCGGAUUAGCUAGUUGGUGGGGUAAAGGCCUACCAAGGCGACGAUCUGUAGCGGGUAUGAGAGGAGGGUCCGCCACACUGGGACUGAGACACGGCCCAGAGUCCUACGGGAGGCAGCAGUGGGGAAUAUUGGACAAUGGGGGGAACCCUGAUCCAGCCAUGCCGCGUGUGUGAAGAAGGCCUUAUGGUUGUAAAGCACUUUAAGCGAGGAGGAGGCUACUCUAGUUAAUACCUAGGGAUAGUGGACGUUACUCGCAGAAUAAGCACCGGCUAACUCUGUGCCAGCCGCCGCAGUAA